Molecule: transfer RNA, 72 nt
Filed under: Streptomyces leeuwenhoekii
Lineage: Bacteria; Bacillati; Actinomycetota; Actinomycetes; Kitasatosporales; Streptomycetaceae
Description: tRNA-Arg-CCG
Rfam family: tRNA
About the family: Transfer RNA (tRNA) molecules are approximately 80 nucleotides in length. Their secondary structure includes four short double-helical elements and three loops (D, anti-codon, and T loops). Further hydrogen bonds mediate the characteristic L-shaped molecular structure. tRNAs have two regions of fundamental functional importance: the anti-codon, which is responsible for specific mRNA codon recognition, and the 3' end, to which the tRNAs corresponding amino acid is attached (by aminoacyl-tRNA synthetases). tRNAs cope with the degeneracy of the genetic code in two manners: having more than one tRNA (with a specific anti-codon) for a particular amino acid; and 'wobble' base-pairing, i.e. permitting non-standard base-pairing at the 3rd anti-codon position.
Source: RNAcentral
ACGCCCCCGUAGCUCAGGGGAUAGAGCAACGGCCUCCGGAGCCGUGUGCGCAGGUUCGAAUCCUGCCGGGGG